This 107-nucleotide small nuclear RNA is filed under the name Zalophus californianus (California sea lion). RNAcentral also lists the same sequence under 1 other name. The record is from RNAcentral. Lineage: Eukaryota; Metazoa; Chordata; Mammalia; Carnivora; Otariidae.
GUGCUCACUCUGGCAGCACAUAGACUAAAAUUAGAAUGAUACAGAGAAGAUUAACACGGCCCCUACACAAGGAUGACAUGCAAAUUCACGAAGUGUUUCAUAUUUUU